RNAcentral lists this ribosomal RNA (253 nucleotides) under uncultured bacterium. Its description in RNAcentral is "partial 16S ribosomal RNA". It matches the Rfam family "Bacterial small subunit ribosomal RNA", at positions 524 to 776 of the family's 1533-position model. The record is from RNAcentral.
UACGGAGGGUGCGAGCGUUAAUCGGAAUUACUGGGCGUAAAGGGCUCGUAGGCGGCCAACUAAGUCGGACGUGAAAUCCCCAGGCUCAACCUGGGAACUGCGUCCGAUACUGGAUGGCUUGAAUCCGGGAGAGGGAUGCAGAAUUCCAGGUGUAGCGGUGAAAUGCGUAGAUAUCUGGAGGAAUACCGGUGGCGAAGGCGGCAUCCUGGACCGGCAUUGACGCUGAGGAGCGAAAGCCAGGGGAGCAAACGGG